Molecule: ribosomal RNA, 255 nt
Filed under: uncultured bacterium
Lineage: Bacteria
Description: partial 16S ribosomal RNA
Rfam family: Bacterial small subunit ribosomal RNA
Source: RNAcentral
UACGUAGGUGGCAAGCGUUAUCCGGAAUUAUUGGGCGUAAAGAGCUCGUAGGCGGUUUGUCGCGUCUGCUGUGAAAACUGGAGGCUCAACCUCCAGCCUGCAGUGGGUACGGGCAGACUAGAGUGUGGUAGGGGAGACUGGAAUUCCUGGUGUAGCGGUGAAAUGCGCAGAGUAUCAGGAGGAACACCGAUGGCGAAGGCAGGUCUCUGGGCCACUACUGACGCUGAGAAGCGAAAGCCAUGGGGAGCGAACAGG